GACGAACGCUGGCGGCGUGCCUAAUACAUGCAAGUCGAACGAACUCUGGUAUUGAUUGGUGCUUGCAUCAUGAUUUACAUUUGAGUGAGUGGCGAACUGGUGAGUAACACGUGGGAAACCUGCCCAGAAGCGGGGGAUAACACCUGGAAACAGAUGCUAAUACCGCAUAACAACUUGGACCGCAUGGUCCGAGUUUGAAAGAUGGCUUCGGCUAUCACUUUUGGAUGGUCCCGCGGCGUAUUAGCUAGAUGGUGGGGUAACGGCUCACCAUGGCAAUGAUACGUAGCCGACCUGAGAGGGUAAUCGGCCACAUUGGGACUGAGACACGGCCCAAACUCCUACGGGAGGCAGCAGUAGGGAAUCUUCCACAAUGGACGAAAGUCUGAUGGAGCAACGCCGCGUGAGUGAAGAAGGGUUUCGGCUCGUAAAACUCUGUUGUUAAAGAAGAACAUAUCUGAGAGUAACUGUUCAGGUAUUGACGGUAUUUAACCAGAAAGCCACGGCUAACUACGUGCCAGCAGCCGCGGUAAUACGUAGGUGGCAAGCGUUGUCCGGAUUUAUUGGGCGUAAAGCGAGCGCAGGCGGUUUUUUAAGUCUGAUGUGAAAGCCUUCGGCUCAACCGAAGAAGUGCAUCGGAAACUGGGGAACUUGAGUGCAGAAGAGGACAGUGGAACUCCAUGUGUAGCGGUGAAAUGCGUAGAUAUAUGGAAGAACACCAGUGGCGAAGGCGGCUGUCUGGUCUGUAACUGACGCUGAGGCUCGAAAGUAUGGGUAGCAAACAGGAUUAGAUACCCUGGUAGUCCAUACCGUAAACGAUGAAUGCUAAGUGUUGGAGGGUUUCCGCCCUUCAGUGCUGCAGCUAACGCAUUAAGCAUUCCGCCUGGGGAGUACGGCCGCAAGGCUGAAACUCAAAGGAAUUGACGGGGGCCCGCACAAGCGGUGGAGCAUGUGGUUUAAUUCGAAGCUACGCGAAGAACCUUACCAGGUCUUGACAUACUAUGCAAAUCUAAGAGAUUAGACGUUCCCUUCGGGGACAUGGAUACAGGUGGUGCAUGGUUGUCGUCAGCUCGUGUCGUGAGAUGUUGGGUUAAGUCCCGCAACGAGCGCAACCCUUAUUAUCAGUUGCCAGCAUUAAGUUGGGCACUCUGGUGAGACUGCCGGUGACAAACCGGAGGAAGGUGGGGAUGACGUCAAAUCAUCAUGCCCCUUAUGACCUGGGCUACACACGUGCUACAAUGGAUGGUACAACGAGUUGCGAACUCGCGAGAGUAAGCUAAUCUCUUAAAGCCAUUCUCAGUUCGGAUUGUAGGCUGCAACUCGCCUACAUGAAGUCGGAAUCGCUAGUAAUCGCGGAUCAGCAUGCCGCGGUGAAUACGUUCCCGGGCCUUGUACACACCGCCCGUCACACCAUGAGAGUUUGUAACACCCAAAGUCGGUGGGGUAACCUUUUAGGAACCAGCCGCCUAAGGUGGGACAGAUGAUUAGGGUG
RNAcentral lists this ribosomal RNA (1489 nucleotides) under Lactiplantibacillus pentosus. RNAcentral describes it as "bacterial SSU rRNA". It matches the Rfam family "Bacterial small subunit ribosomal RNA". The record is from RNAcentral. Lineage: Bacteria; Bacillati; Bacillota; Bacilli; Lactobacillales; Lactobacillaceae. RNAcentral also lists the same sequence under 1 other name.